AUCCCAUCCAUUUUAUAUAGAACUAAUUCUUAUCUCAAUGUUGUACUACCCAGGUAUUUAAUCCUGCUUCAAACUCUAGAUAUUCAUGAAAGUGCAGUGCAUGAGAAUAUCUCUCAUAUUUCAUCAAUCAAGAAAGCGCAAUACAUGUCUGAUAUUUUAAUUGUUUACAUACCACAAGGAAACCUCCACUCUUAAAUUUCCA
Molecule: unclassified non-coding RNA, 202 nt
Filed under: Hevea brasiliensis (rubber tree)
Lineage: Eukaryota; Viridiplantae; Streptophyta; Magnoliopsida; Malpighiales; Euphorbiaceae
Source: RNAcentral